AGCUCCGGGCUUAACUCGGAGAUGUCGUUUCAAUACUGCGGGGCUUGAGGACAGCAGAAGGAAGNUGGAAUUCCCGGUGUAGUGGUGAAAUGCGUAGAUAUCGGGAGGAACACCCGUGGCGAAGGCGGCCUUCUGGGCUGUUCCCGACGCUGAAGGCGAAAGCUAGGGGAGCGAACGGGAUUAGAUACCCCGGUAGUCCUAGCUGUAAACGAUGGAUGCUGGGUGUGGGGGGUGUAAAUUCCCUCUGUGCCGAAGCAAACGCGUUAAGCAUCCCGCCUGGGGACUACGGCCGCAAGGCUAAAACUCAAACGAAUUGACGGGGGCCCGCACAAGCAGCGGAGCGUGUGGUUUAAUUCGAUGCUACACGAAGAACCUUACCUGGGUUUGACAUGCACGUGGUAGGGAACCGAAAGGGGACCGACCUUCGGGAGCGUGCACAGGUGCUGCAUGGCUGUCGUCAGCUCGUGCCGUGAGGUGUUGGGUUAAGUCCCGUAACGAGCGCAACCCUUGCCCUUAGUUACAAGUGUCUAAGGGGACUGCCCGGGACAACUGGGAGGAAGGUGGGGAUGACGUCAAGUCAGCAUGGCCUUUAUAUCCAGGGCUACACACACGCUACAAUGGCCGGUACAAUAGGUUGCGAAGUCGUGAGGCGGAGCCAAUCCUCAAAGCCGGUCUCAGUUCGAAUUGCAGUCUGCAACUCGACUGCAUGAAGCCGGAGUUGCUAGUAAUCGCAGGUCAGCUAUACUGCGGUGAAUACGUUCCCGGGCCUUGUACACUCCGCCCGUCACGUCAUGGAAGCUGGCAACGCCUGAAGCCGGUGAGCUAACCCGAAAGGGAGGCAGCCGUCGAGGGUGGGGCUGGUAACUGGGACGAAGUCG
RNAcentral lists this ribosomal RNA (878 nucleotides) under uncultured organism. Its description in RNAcentral is "bacterial SSU rRNA". It matches the Rfam family "Bacterial small subunit ribosomal RNA", at positions 599 to 1488 of the family's 1533-position model. The record is from RNAcentral.